RNAcentral lists this transfer RNA (86 nucleotides) under Methanosaeta sp. PtaU1.Bin028. RNAcentral's name for it is "tRNA-Ser". It matches the Rfam family "tRNA". From Rfam's summary of the family: Transfer RNA (tRNA) molecules are approximately 80 nucleotides in length. The record is from RNAcentral. Lineage: Archaea; Methanobacteriati; Methanobacteriota; Methanomicrobia; Methanotrichales; Methanotrichaceae.
GCUGAGGUAGCCAAGUGGCCUACGGCGCUGGUCUUGAGAACCAGUGGUGCACCGCACCUCGUGAGUUCAAAUCUCACCCUCAGCGC